Long non-coding RNA from Nerophis ophidion (straightnose pipefish), 865 nucleotides. RefSeq lists it as uncharacterized. The record is from RefSeq and is a predicted model, not a curated record. The transcript has 2 exons. NCBI's taxonomy places the organism in Eukaryota, Metazoa, Chordata, Actinopteri, Syngnathiformes, Syngnathidae.
UCGUUGGAAUAGUUUCAUCUAGCCUAUUUGGGGGACGUUCAGCGGGGCCAACAAAGAUGAAGUGGCCCGCUAUGCUGGGAGCUGGCAAUAGUAAUAUUCAGUAGUGUAAAAGUGGUGCACUGCGAGUGUUUUGGGUUCAAACAUUUGCCACACUGACUGAGACACAAGCGAUGGAAUCCAGCAGCCACGGUGCCGGUCUGGGCAGAGCCAAGGAACAAGUCGGACUGGUUCCCAAAAGGAAAAAGCCUUCUCUCAGCUGAGGUGGAUUCCGUGGAUUCCAGCGAGGGCGCUUUGGCUCGCCGCCGACACCUUACGGGCAAAACGCUGGCGAGGAUGUUUGAGACGCUGAUUUAUACCAACGGUUGCUGACCCGUAACAACCGACGCUGCCUGUAUCGUGCUGUUCGAGUCUCGUCAACGCCAGACGCCUUCCAGAAGGAACAUAAUGCGACACACGUCCUAUAGUGUCCAAUCACAGCUGCAGUCUUCAUUCGGAGGCGGAACUACAAGGUGCCUGCAGUCAAUGACCAGGUCUGAGAGCAUCACGUCCUGACACGCAAGCCAGCCGACGGAGACAUGACAAUGUUUGCGCAAGACAGUGUUGGUGUGCAUCAAAGGGGACGACUCAAAACAAGAUCUUCCAAAAGAAAUUGUUGCCACAUGACGCAGCUUGUGUGUGCAAGGUUGACAUUCUUGCAUAAUCAUUUUCUUUUACACAAACACUCUGAAACCAACUUAAAUCAGAGCAGUGUCGGACACCAUGAAGAGAGAGGGAGCUGGAGAACGAGAGGCAAGGCUGCCAGAAUAAGGCUGAAUAGCCAAAAAGACUUUGCACAUUGACUUCAUUAAAGCAUAUUGUAAAACGC